This is a non-coding RNA of Vicugna pacos (alpaca), 1567 nucleotides long. NCBI's taxonomy places the organism in Eukaryota, Metazoa, Chordata, Mammalia, Artiodactyla, Camelidae. The record is from RefSeq and is a predicted model, not a curated record.
AUGAAACUGGCUAACUUGAUAUAAAACAGAUCAAAGUCCUACUGUAGCAGAUCAAAGGCAGCAAGUAGGGUGGGAUGAUCUGGCCAGCAAGCACAGGUCCGGCUGCACGGCUGUUAGUGUGGAGCGCCUUCUGUGUUUGUAGGCAAACACCUGCUGCCCAGAGCCCUGGACCCCCCUCGUUUUAGCUCCUGUCUCAGGAUGCUAGCAAGCAGGGGGUCUCUGGGACCCUGCUCCAGUGUUAUUUCAGAUUGUAAAAUGUGUAUGGCUUGGCACCAGACUUUUAGAUGUCAAACAGUUGGGAGGCCCAGAGCUCCCUCUUGAUGAACGUCCCUGUCAUUCACUUCUGUGGCCAUCAAAGUUCUUUAGGGAGCACCCCAGAGGGCCGUUCCCUUCCUGGUCUAAGUGGCCUGCCAUCCCCUGCUGGUGCACACCCUGGUCUGUUUAGUUACAGCUGAUACGUAGCAGUUCUGAGUUUCAGUUUGGAAGCUGACACAGCUUCAGAAGGCUGAGCCCUGGGCUGAUCAUUUAACAGCUGGGGGAGCUUAGACAUGUCUGCAUGUUUGCUCAUCUACAAACCAGAGUAAUAAAAAUCCAUCCUUUGCAGAGUUGUUGUGACGAUCUGGUGAGAGAGUGCAUGUGAAAAUCUGUCAGUGAUGAGAGAACACUUACUGAAGGUGGGCUCGUGGCUGGACCCGUGAGGGUAGAUAUGGAAACAGCCCUGCUGGAUUGUGGUCUUGGGAAAUGGCGUGGUGAGGAGAGGGUCUCCCACUUACGAGGACCCAGCACCCUCAUCCUCAGAAGAAAUCACCGCUCCUCUGACGGAGGACAGGUGCAGACUGCACCCUGCUGCCUGGAAGCACAGCAUCCACCUGCUGGGAGUGUGGGGAUCCCAGCAGCUGCCCGCGUCUGCCCGGCCAGGGCCCAGACACCCACCCGAGCCUGGGCAAUGUGCCUGCCGCUAGUCAUCGGUCACCUAGUGAGGUCCCCGGAGUGCCAUGAACUCUAACAGUGCUGAGUUAAUGGAGAAACAGAAUAGCUUCCCUGUUCACCAGCAAUUUGCAUGCGGAGAUCUAGCUGUCAGAAAUAAAGCGAAGCCUUCACACACGACACCUCCCAGUGACAUGUGUGAACACACACGCCACAUGUAGCUCGGCUUCCCCGCCUCAGAAGCAUGGUGAGUCUUCCAGAAGGGGUGGGGAGGGGCAAAAUCAAAGACCAAAAAUGCAUACAGAAUUCUUUUAUUUAACUUAAACCAUGUAGUACUUUAACUACUAGAAAAAAGCAGAGUAAGAGAAACUAAAGUUGCCUUAGCUUCAGCCAUUCAAAAUAGACAAAGUUUCUUUUUUUUCAUAAUGUAAAGAAUCCAGAGUAUAUCGCAAUAACAGGAAUAAAUUCUUACAACAGAAUAUACAAAAAACAUUUUGAAAUUUUUUUCAUCUACUGAUUUUUUUAUAUAAACAGAGGAAUUUUUUUAGGAAUAAUUUAUACACAGAAAGUCAUUUUAUGUAACAAAUUGGCCAUGUUAUUACCUUUUUUUUUUACUUUUUUUUUUUUAAAAACAUUUUUU